AUAUUGCCUGAGACAGGGGAGAUACUAUGAUCACGAAGGUGGUUUUCUGAGGGUGAGGCUUAUCCCUUGCACUCUGGAUGUGCUGACCCCCGCUAUUUCUCCAAAUGUGGGAAACUCGACUGCAUGAUUUGUGGUAGUAGAGGACUGUG
Molecule: small nuclear RNA, 149 nt
Filed under: Erinaceus europaeus (western European hedgehog)
Lineage: Eukaryota; Metazoa; Chordata; Mammalia; Eulipotyphla; Erinaceidae
Description: U1 spliceosomal RNA
Rfam family: U1 spliceosomal RNA
About the family: U1 is a small nuclear RNA (snRNA) component of the spliceosome (involved in pre-mRNA splicing). Its 5' end forms complementary base pairs with the 5' splice junction, thus defining the 5' donor site of an intron. There are significant differences in sequence and secondary structure between metazoan and yeast U1 snRNAs, the latter being much longer (568 nucleotides as compared to 164 nucleotides in human).
Source: Rfam by way of RNAcentral